UUGACUGUCUCCCUCCUCAUGUUUCUCUCCUCCCCACAACAAUAGCAUGCAAGGAGAUUUAUAUAGACUGCUGAUUAGCUAUAGUGACUCCUGACCUUGCUGGAUUCUCGGGCUCUCCUAAGGUCUCUUCAACUGCCUGCGCUUUCUAAUCUGAAAAAAGUGCCAUUGAAAGAGUUACCUUAUGGUGCCAUCCCCUGAGAAGGCUUCAGAGCACAGACCACUAGCGAGAAGACUAGCAGAGGGAAAGAAAGAACCCUCACAAACAGUACCUCAAAAGGAAGGGAAGCACAAGAAAAAACCCUGUAUCUUAUCCUCAAGAAUUUCACUGACUUUUUCUCUCACCUACGAUCAUUUCCAAACACAAUUUCUUUCUCUGUAAUUGGUAAAGGUGUGGGGGGGGGGCAAUUUGGCAGAAUUUUUUGGCACAGCACUACUCUGUAUUUCCUAUUCUGAGGGUUGUUAUUUCCAGUGAAGGGGAAAGUUCCCUGCUUGUGUGCCUUGUUGGUGAAAGAGGUCUAGUGUCUUUA
This is a long non-coding RNA of Rhineura floridana, 527 nucleotides long. RefSeq lists it as uncharacterized. The transcript has 2 exons. The record is from RefSeq and is a predicted model, not a curated record. Lineage: Eukaryota; Metazoa; Chordata; Lepidosauria; Squamata; Rhineuridae.